ACACCGGCGGCCCGAGUGGUGAUCGUGAUUAUUGGGUCUAAAGGGUCCGUAGCCGGUUUGGUCAGUCCUCCGGGAAAUCUGAUAGCUCAACUAUUAGGCUUUCGGGGGAUACUGCCAGACUUGGAACCGGGAGAGGUAAGAGGUACUACAGGGGUAGGAGUGAAAUCUUGUAAUCCCUGUGGGACCACCUGUGACGAAGGCGUCUUACCAGAACGGGUUCGACGGGGAGGGACGAAAGCGGGGGGCACGAACCGGAUUAGAUACCCGGGUAGUCCCAGCCGUAAACGAUGCUCGCUAGGUGUCAGGCAUGGCGCGACCGUGUCUGGUGCCGCAGGGAAGCCGUGAAGCGAGCCACCUGGGAAGUACGGCCGCAAGGCUGAAACUUAAAUGAAUUGGCGGGG
Molecule: ribosomal RNA, 401 nt
Filed under: uncultured bacterium
Lineage: Bacteria
Description: partial 16S ribosomal RNA
Rfam family: Archaeal small subunit ribosomal RNA
Source: RNAcentral